Molecule: ribosomal RNA, 180 nt
Filed under: uncultured Glomeromycotina
Lineage: Eukaryota; Fungi; Glomeromycota
Description: partial small subunit ribosomal RNA
Rfam family: Eukaryotic small subunit ribosomal RNA
Source: RNAcentral
GGAUUAAUUUACUGGUCGUGCUAUUGUACGUACUGGUUUUAUUGAUUCCUCCCUUCUGACGAACUAUGAUGCCAUUAAUUUGGUGUCUUAGGGAAUCAGGACUGUUACUUUGAAAAAAUUAGAGUGUUUAAAGCAGGCGAAACAGCUUGAAUACAUUAGCAUGGAAUAAUAAAACAGGAC